AGUGAACGCUGGCGAUAGGCCUAACACAUGCAAGUCGAACGGCAGCACAGUAAGAGCUUGCUCUUACGGGUGGCGAGUGGCGGACGGGUGAGGAAUACAUCGGAAUCUACUUUUUCGUGGGGGAUAACGUAGGGAAACUUACGCUAAUACCGCAUACGACCUACAGGUGAAAGCAGGGGAUCUUCGGACCUUGCGCGAUUGAAUGAGCCGAUGUCGGAUUAGCUAGUUGGCGGGGUAAAGGCCCACCAAGGCGACGAUCCGUAGCUGGUCUGAGAGGAUGAUCAGCCACACUGGAACUGAGACACGGUCCAGACUCCUACGGGAGGCAGCAGUGGGGAAUAUUGGACAAUGGGCGCAAGCCUGAUCCAGCCAUACCGCGUGGGUGAAGAAGGCCUUCGGGUUGUAAAGCCCUUUUGUUGGGAAAGAAAAGCAGCAGGUUAAUACCCCGCUGUUCUGACGGUACCCAAAGAAUAAGCACCGGCUAACUUCGUG
RNAcentral lists this ribosomal RNA (492 nucleotides) under uncultured bacterium. RNAcentral's name for it is "partial 16S ribosomal RNA". It matches the Rfam family "Bacterial small subunit ribosomal RNA", at positions 29 to 507 of the family's 1533-position model. The record is from RNAcentral.